UGAACGCCAUCGGUAUGCUUAACACAUGCAAGUYGAACGGCAACGGGGGGCUUAACUCCCCUGACGGCGAGUGGCGGACGGGUGAGUAACACGUAGGAAUCUACCUUAUUAGUGGGGGAUAACCCGAGGAAACUCGGGCUAAUACCGCAUAAUCUCUAUCAAAGUAAAGCGGGGGAUCUUCGGACCUCGUGCUAUGAGAUGAGCCUGCGUCGGAUUAGCUAGUUGGUGAGGGUAAUGGCCUACCAAGGCGACGAUCCGUAGCUGGUCUGAGAGGACGAUCAGCCACACUGGGACUGAGACACGGCCCAGACUCCUACGGGAGGCAGCAGUGGGGAAUAUUGGACAAUGGGGGAAACC
Molecule: ribosomal RNA, 357 nt
Filed under: uncultured Coxiella sp.
Lineage: Bacteria; Pseudomonadati; Pseudomonadota; Gammaproteobacteria; Legionellales; Coxiellaceae
Description: bacterial SSU rRNA
Rfam family: Bacterial small subunit ribosomal RNA
Source: RNAcentral